GACGAACGCUGGCGGCGCGCUUAACACAUGCAAGUCGAACGGAAAGGCCUGCUUUCCCUUGUGGAUUGCGGGUACUCGAGUGGCGAACGGGUGAGUAACACGUGAGUGAUCUGCCCCCAACUUGGGUAUAAGCCUGGGAAACUGGGUCUAAUUCCCGAUAGGACUGCAGGGUGGUGCCUGUGGUGGAAAACGAUUUUCUAGUGGUUGGGGAUGAGCUUGCGGCCUAUCAGCUUGUUGGUGGGGUAAUGGCCUACCAAGGCGGCGACGGGUAGCCGGCCUGAGAGGGUGGACGGCCACAUUGGGACUGAGAUACGGCCCAGACUCCUACGGGAGGCAGCAGUGGGGAAUAUUGCACAAUGGGCGGAAGCCUGAUGCAGCGACGCCGCGUGGGGGAUGACGGCCUUCGGGUUGUAAACUCCUUUCGACCGCGAGGAAGCCACCUGGUUGGAAGGGUGGUGACGGUAGUGGUAGAAGAAGCACCGGCUAACUACGUG
Molecule: ribosomal RNA, 494 nt
Filed under: uncultured bacterium
Lineage: Bacteria
Description: partial 16S ribosomal RNA
Rfam family: Bacterial small subunit ribosomal RNA
Source: RNAcentral